Molecule: non-coding RNA, 107 nt
Organism: Acanthosepion pharaonis
Lineage: Eukaryota; Metazoa; Mollusca; Cephalopoda; Sepiida; Sepiidae
Source: the annotation of a GenBank genome assembly
UUACGGCCAUAUCACAUUGAUACACCGGUUCUAGUUUGAUCAUUGAAGUUAAGCAACGUCUCGCCAAUUCACUACGUAGAUGGGUGACCGCAUGGGAAUACCAGACG